Molecule: ribosomal RNA, 329 nt
Filed under: uncultured bacterium
Lineage: Bacteria
Description: bacterial SSU rRNA
Rfam family: Bacterial small subunit ribosomal RNA
Source: RNAcentral
AGGGUUUGAUUAUGGCUCAGGAUGAACGCUGGCGGCGCGCCUAACACAUGCAAGUCGAACGGACGAUGAAGAGCUUGCUUUUCAAAGUUAGUGGCGGACGGGUGAGUAACGCGUGGGUAACCUGCCUCAUACAGGGGAAUAGCAGCUGGAAACGGCUGAUAAAACCGCAUAAGCGCACAGUGCCGCAUGGCACAGUGUGAAAAACUCCGGUGGUAUGAGAUGGACCCGCGUCUGAUUAGCUUGUUGGCGGGGUAACGGCCCACCAAGGCGACGAUCAGUAGCCGGCCUGAGAGGGUGAUCGGCCACAUUGGGACUGAGACACGGCCCAA